Non-coding RNA from Mycena vulgaris, 93 nucleotides. Lineage: Eukaryota; Fungi; Basidiomycota; Agaricomycetes; Agaricales; Mycenaceae. The record is from the annotation of a GenBank genome assembly.
UCAGACAUGGUGUAGUUGGAACACAGUCUUUCCUUAUGGACAUGUGCUUUGGUUCUAAAGAGACAGUCCAGGGUUCGAAUCCCUGUGUCUGAA